UAGUACCGUGAGGGAAUGGUGAAAAGUACCCCGGGAGGGGAGUGAAAUAGUUCCUGAAACCAUGUGCUUACAAUCCGUCAGAGCACUUUUUAUUGUGUGAUGGCGUGCCUUUUGAAGAAUGAGCCUGCGAGUCAGCGGCAUGUCGCGAGGUUAACCCGUGUGGGGUAGUCGUAGGGAAACCGAAUCCUAAUGGGGUGGUAAGUGGCAUGUCCUGGACCCGAAGCGGGGUGAUCUACCCAUGGCCAGUGUGAAGCAGCUGUAAGAGGUUGUGGAGGCGCGAACCCACGUAGGUUGAAAACUGCGGGGAUGAGCUGUGGGUAGGGGUGAAAGGCCAAUCAAACUCCGUGAUAGCUGGUUCUCCCCGAAAUGCAUUUAGGUGCAGCGUCGUAUGAGCUUGGUGGAGGUAGAGCGACUGGUUGGUUGAGCGGGACUACAAUCUUAGCAAUGUCAGCCAAACUCCGAAUGCCAUCAAUUGUGUUGUGCGGCAGUGAGACUGUGGGGGAUAAGCUUCAUAGUCGAGAGGGAAACAGCCCAGAUCGCCGGUUAAGGCCCCUAAGGGUGUACUAAGUGGAAAAGGAUGUGGGAUCGCGAAGACAGCCAGGAGGUUGGCUUAGAAGCAGCCAUCCUUGAAAGAGUGCGUAAUAGCUCACUGGUCGAGUGGUUCUGCGCCGACAAUGUAGUGGGGCUCAAGUACACCGCCGAAGCCGCGGCAACUUUUUAGUUGGGUAGGGGAGCGUCGUGCAUGAGGUGAAGCAUGAGUGUGAACACGUGUGGAUUGUGUGCGAGUGAGAAUGCAGGCAUGAGUAACGAAUUGUAAGGUGAGAAUCCUUACCGCCGGAUGACUAAGGGUUCCUGGGUCAAGUUCGUCUUCCCAGGGUGAGUCGGGACCUAAGGCGAGGCCGACAGGCGUAGUCGAUGGAUAACCAGUUGAUAUUCUGGUACCCGUACAUGUGCGCCCAUGAUAAAGCACGGAUACUAACCACUGCGGAUAUGCUACCUGUUCACUUUUUUGGUGUUGGUGGUGUUGAUGUCGUGGGGCCUGAUGUGUGGUUCAAGUGAUGGGGUGACGCAGUGAGGUAGCCGCGCCACUUAGUGGAUUGGUGGUGUAAGCGUGUAGGCCGUGUGGUAGGUAAAUCCGCUACACAUGUGGUUGAGGCGUGAUGCGUAGACCCAGUGGGGUUGAUGGUGGUGAUCCUGUACUGUCGAGAAAAGCCUCUAGCGAGUGUGUGUAUGGCCCGUACCCUAAACCGACACAGGUGGUCAGGUUGAAGAUACUAAGGCGUUCGGGUGAACUGUGGUUAAGGAAUUCGGCAAAAUGCCCCCGUAACUUCGGGAGAAGGGGGGCCCUGUGACGUGAAGACCCUUGCGGUUGGAGUGUUGUGGGGUCGCAGAGAAUAGAGGGAAGCGACUGUUUAUCAAAAACACAGGUCCAUGCGAAGACGUUAAGUUGAUGUAUAUGGACUGACGCCUGCCCGGUGCUGGAAGGUUAAGAGGACCGGUUAGUAACCUUUGUGGUUGCGAAGCUGAGAAUUUAAGCCCCAGUAAACGGCGGUGGUAACUAUAACCAUCCUAAGGUAGCGAAAUUCCUUGUCGGGUAAGUUCCGACCUGCACGAAUGGCGUAACGACUUCUCUGCUGUCUCGACCACAGGCCCGGUGAAAUUGCAUUACGAGUAAAGAUGCUCGUUACGCGCGGCAGGACGAAAAGACCCCGGGACCUUCACUAUAGCUUGGUAUUGGUGUUUGGUUCGGUUUGUGUAGGAUAGGUGGGAGACUGUGAAAUCAUCACGCUAGUGGUGGUGGAGUCGUUGUUGAAAUACCACUCUGAUCGGAUUGAGCAUCUAACCUUGGCCCAUGAUCUGGGUUGGGGACAGUGCCUGGUGGGUAGUUUAACUGGGGCGGUUGCCUCCCAAAAUGUAACGGAGGCGCCCAAAGGUUCCCUCAGCCUGGUUGGCAAUCAGGUGGUGAGUGUAAGUGCACAAGGGAGCUUGACUGUGAGACAGACAUGUCGAGCAGGGACGAAAGUCGGGACUAGUGAUCCGGCACCUACUUGUGGAUGUGGUGUCGCUCAACGGAUAAAAGGUACCCCGGGGAUAACAGGCUGAUCUUCCCCAAGAGUCCAUAUCGACGGGAUGGUUUGGCACCUCGAUGUCGGCUCGUCGCAUCCUGGGGCUGGAGUAGGUCCCAAGGGUUGGGCUGUUCGCCCAUUAAAGCGGCACGCGAGCUGGGUUCAGAACGUCGUGAGACAGUUCGGUCUCUAUCCGCCGCGCGCGU
RNAcentral lists this ribosomal RNA (2272 nucleotides) under human metagenome. RNAcentral describes it as "bacterial LSU rRNA". It matches the Rfam family "Bacterial large subunit ribosomal RNA", at positions 496 to 2654 of the family's 2925-position model. The record is from RNAcentral.